This 484-nucleotide ribosomal RNA is filed under the name uncultured bacterium. RNAcentral's name for it is "partial 16S ribosomal RNA". It matches the Rfam family "Bacterial small subunit ribosomal RNA", at positions 30 to 507 of the family's 1533-position model. The record is from RNAcentral.
AUUGAACGCUGGCGGCAGGCCUAACACAUGCAAGUCGAGCGGAUGCAGGGAGCUUGCUCCUGGAUUCAGCGGCGGACGGGUGAGUAAUGCCUAGGAAUCUGCCUGGUAGCGGGGGAUAACGUCCGGAAACGGGCGCUAAUACCGCAUACGUCCUGAGGGAGAAAGUGGGGGAUCUUCGGACCUCACGCUAUCAGAUGAGCCUAGGUCGGAUUAGCUAGUUGGUGGGGUAAAGGCCUACCAAGGCGACGAUCCGUAACUGGUCUGAGAGGAUGAUCAGUCACACUGGAACUGAGACACGGUCCAGACUCCUACGGGAGGCAGCAGUGGGGAAUAUUGGACAAUGGGCGAAAGCCUGAUCCAGCCAUGCCGCGUGUGUGAAGAAGGUCUUCGGAUUGUAAAGCACUUUAAGUUGGGAGGAAGGGCAGUAAGUUAAUACCUUGCUGUUUUGACGUUACCAACAGAAUAAGCACCGGCUAACUUCGUG